RNAcentral lists this ribosomal RNA (497 nucleotides) under uncultured bacterium. RNAcentral describes it as "partial 16S ribosomal RNA". It matches the Rfam family "Bacterial small subunit ribosomal RNA", at positions 28 to 507 of the family's 1533-position model. The record is from RNAcentral.
GACGAACGCUGGCGGCGUGCCUAAUACAUGCAAGUAGAACGCUGAAGAGAGGAGCUUGCUCUUCUUGGCUGAGCUGCGAACGGGCGAGUAACGCGUAGGUAACCUGCCUCGUAUUGGGGGAUAACUAUUGGAAACGAUAGCUAAUACCGCAUAACAAUGGAUGACACAUUUCAUUUAUUUGAAAGGGGCAAUUCCUCCACUACAAGAUGGAUCUGUGUUCUAUUAGCUAGUAGGUGAGGUAACGGCUCACCUAGCCGCCGAUACAUAGUCGCCCUGACAGGGUGGUCGGCCACACUGGGACUGAGGCACGGCCCAGACUCCUACGGAAGGAAGCUGUUGGCGAUUUUCGGACAUGGAACCAAGCCUGGCCGGGCACCGCCCGCUCUGGUGAGCGUGGUUUCGGUGCGGCAAGCUCUGUUGUUAGGCAAGAACGUGUAGGAGAGUGGCAAUUUCCUGCUCUGACGGUAGCUAACGAGGAAGGGACGGCUAACUACGUG